AUAGGAGCCGAUAUCGUGGUCGGAGUUGUCGGCACUAGAAUUGGAUGUAGCUUUGGAGUUCCGUUCUCUUCACCUCCGUCGGAGAUCGAUUUGGUAGGUGUCCCCACUGGUGUCUUAAUGGAAGGAACAGCUGUUUGAGGAAUCGGAGACAAGGGCUUUCUUAUCAAACGCAAUUCAGUUGAAGGCGCCUUUGCAGAAGACUGCUUCUUUACUAAAUGACCAGCAAUCUCCGAAUUUCUCCUACCUACAAAUAGUUGAGAUACGGCAUAGUUUAUAAAUCCAAGAUGGCCUAAGCAAACAAGUUGUUCUCUAUUCUUAUGUGUGCAAGCGGAAAACGAGAGCUCUGAUUAUAUAACGAGAUAACAUAGGUCUGAGUUGCAAAACCACCAUUCUGCUGGGAACCCAAGUAGACAUUUUGAUUCAAACCAUCGCCUUUCUUAUUUAUAUGCAUGUGAGGACAUGAUUUAUCAGCUUUUAAGUUCUGAAGCAUCGCUCCGCCAAGAGAGAGUUUCCGGUUGCUUGCAAAUCCUACUGAAGUUCUAAAGGCCUUCUUUCCACUCUUUGAUGGACUGAAUUUUGCACCAAAAAGUGCUUCCUGCUCUGCUAUCAGCUGGACCUGAAGUUUCUUCUGGUCCUAAAAUAUACAGAAACUAUUUAUAUAAGGUAAAAUCGUAUCGUAUAUGAGAAAGAGAAAGGAAGAGAACAUUUUGCAAAGACUAAUUGAACAAAGUUCAUACGUACUCUUUGUCUUAUCUUUUCUUGUUCCUUCGCUUUCCUUAGGUUGUUGUACUGUUCCAGUCUAGAAAGAAGCCGUU
Long non-coding RNA from Manihot esculenta (cassava), 815 nucleotides. RefSeq lists it as uncharacterized. The transcript is spliced from 2 exons. Lineage: Eukaryota; Viridiplantae; Streptophyta; Magnoliopsida; Malpighiales; Euphorbiaceae. The record is from RefSeq and is a predicted model, not a curated record.